Gossypium arboreum is the source of this 279-nucleotide long non-coding RNA. RefSeq lists it as uncharacterized. The transcript has 2 exons. NCBI's taxonomy places the organism in Eukaryota, Viridiplantae, Streptophyta, Magnoliopsida, Malvales, Malvaceae. The record is from RefSeq and is a predicted model, not a curated record.
GUGCGCUACUCUCUACGUCGGCACGCCCACGACUACCUCACGUCGCCAUACCUGUGAGGAGAUAGCAAAAACAGUAGAGAAGUUGGUUGUAUUUUUAGCUAUAAAGAGCCCGAAUAAUGAUGAUUUAAUACAAAUAUGAAGUAUAAGAGAGGGAGGAGGGGUCUUACCGGAGUCGUGCUCGUGCCGUCGGCGACCAUGGCACGUGGGAUCUUUGAUGGAGGCGGCGUCUGACAAAAAUGGGAAGAGAAAUGAGAGAGCCUUUGAAAGUUUUUAGUUUUU